AUUACACUUAUAUUUUCUCCUUUCGUUAACUUAAGCAUCGGAGGGUGCGACAAGCACAUACCUCGACUCCUUUGUUUCAAGCACCAGAGAUGUCGUUCGUGGUCAUUCUCAAUCUUCAAGCUUGAGAAUCAACAUGUGAAUAUUUUUGGUAAAAUCAAUAUCAUUGUUAUGGAAUGUUACAUUAGAGAUUUGAGGUUCUUAGAUGAUUUUCGAAUUAGGGUGAAUGUGGAAUUUGGUGUUUGCUAAUUUUGUGACUUAAUUUUAGUUAGGAACUUAGGUAUUCUGCUUUCUAACGGUGGUGGUUGCACGUUUUUGAGGAUUUGAAGCUUUGAAUGAUGGUGGGAUUUUCCAAUUUGGCAUUUAUUAUUACCUAUCAAUCUUAUUUAGCUUCGAUGAGGAUUAAAAUCCAAUUUUUAGUAAAUUUUAAUAGAAAUCAAUGAAAUGCGUGGUUGAAAUGUUG
Molecule: long non-coding RNA, 460 nt
Filed under: Olea europaea subsp. europaea
Lineage: Eukaryota; Viridiplantae; Streptophyta; Magnoliopsida; Lamiales; Oleaceae
Source: RNAcentral